AUGGAAAGUCUUUGAGGUCAAUGGAAGGUCAUGGAAGGUCCUGGAAGGUCAUGGAAGGUCAAUGGAAGGUCCUGGAAGGUCAGGGAAGGUCAUGGAAGGUCAAUGGAAACCUUUCAAGGUCCUGUCAGCUCAGACCGUCCCCAGGUCCUGUCAGCUCCAAACUCAAUCCCAAUGACCAGAACCAGGUCCUGGCAGCUCAGACCACCCCCAGGUCCUGUCAGCUCUAUCCAGGUCCUGGCAGCUCCAAACUCAAUCCCAAUGACCACAAGCAGGUCCUGGCAGCUUAGACCACCCCCAGGUCCUGUCAGCUCUAUCCAGGUCCUGUCAGCUCUAUCCAGGUCCUGUCAGCUCAAACCUCAAUUCUCAGGUCCUGGCAGCUCAAACCCCAGUCCCAGGUCCUGUCAGCUCUAUCCAGGUCCUGUCAGCUCUAUCCAGGUCCUGUCAGCUCACCGCUGA
This 456-nucleotide long non-coding RNA is filed under the name Parus major (Great Tit). RNAcentral describes it as "lncRNA (ENSPMJG00000001965.1)". The record is from RNAcentral. Lineage: Eukaryota; Metazoa; Chordata; Aves; Passeriformes; Paridae.